This 820-nucleotide ribosomal RNA is filed under the name Cadophora sp. RNAcentral describes it as "partial large subunit ribosomal RNA". It matches the Rfam family "Eukaryotic large subunit ribosomal RNA", at positions 85 to 922 of the family's 3401-position model. The record is from RNAcentral. Lineage: Eukaryota; Fungi; Ascomycota; Leotiomycetes; Helotiales; Ploettnerulaceae.
AACGGCGAGUGAAGCGGUAACAGCUCAAAUUUGAAAGCUAGCUCUUUUAGGGUUCGCAUUGUAAUUUGUAGAAGAUGCUUCGGGUGUGGCCCCGGUCUAAGUUCCUUGGAACAGGACGUCAUAGAGGGUGAGAAUCCCGUAUGUGACUGGGUGCUUUCGCUCAUGUGAAGCUCUUUCGACGAGUCGAGUUGUUUGGGAAUGCAGCUCAAAAUGGGUGGUAAAUUUCAUCUAAAGCUAAAUAUUGGCCAGAGACCGAUAGCGCACAAGUAGAGUGAUCGAAAGAUGAAAAGCACUUUGGAAAGAGAGUUAAACAGUACGUGAAAUUGUUGAAAGGGAAGCGCUUGCAACCAGACUUGCGCGCUGAUGAUCAUCCGGGCUUCUGCCCGGUGCACUCGUCUGCGCUCAGGCCAGCAUCGGUUUCGGUGGUGGGAUAAAGGCCUUGGGAAUGUAGCUUCUUUCGGGGAGUGUUAUAGCCCUCGGUGCAAUGCCGCCUACCGGGACCGAGGACCGCGCUUCGGCUAGGAUGCUGGCGUAAUGGUUGUAAGCGACCCGUCUUGAAACACGGACCAAGGAGUCUAACAUCUAUGCGAGUGUUUGGGUGUCAAACCCAUACGCGUAAUGAAAGUGAACGGAGGUGAGAACCCUUAAGGGUGCAUCAUCGACCGAUCCUGAUGUCUUCGGAUGGAUUUGAGUAAGAGCAUAGCUGUUGGGACCCGAAAGAUGGUGAACUAUGCGUGAAUAGGGUGAAGCCAGAGGAAACUCUGGUGGAGGCUCGCAGCGGUUCUGACGUGCAAAUCGAUCGUCAAAUUUGCGUAUAGGG